UUAUGGUCAUAUCACAUUGAAACACCGGUUCUUGUAGGAUCACUGAAAUUAAGCAACAUCAAGCCUGGUCAGUAUCUAGAUGGGUGACCACUUGGGGAUUCCAGGUGCUGUAAGC
RNAcentral lists this ribosomal RNA (115 nucleotides) under Acanthosepion pharaonis. Lineage: Eukaryota; Metazoa; Mollusca; Cephalopoda; Sepiida; Sepiidae. The record is from RNAcentral.